UACGGAAGGCAGCAGUGGGGAAUAUUGCACAAUGGGCGCAAGCCUGAUGCAGCCAUGCCGCGUGUAUGAAAAAGGCCUUCGGGUUGUAAAGUACUUUCAGUCGUGAGGAAGGUGUUAAGGUUAAUAACCUUAGCAAUUGACGUUAGCGACAGAAGAAGCACCGGCUAACUCCGUGCCAGCAGCCGCGGUAAUACGGAGGGUGCGAGCGUUAAUCGGAAUUACUGGGCGUAAAGGGCACGCAGGCGGUUAAUUAAGUUGGAUGUGGAAUCCCCGGGCUUAACCUGGGAAUGGCAUUCAAGACUGGUUAGCUAGAGUCUUGUAGAGGGGGUAGAAUUCCAUGUGUAGCGGUGAAAUGCGUAGAGAUGUGGAGGAAUACCGGUGGCGAAGGCGGCCCCUGGCAAAGACUGACGCUCAUGUGCGAAAGCGUGGGGAGCAAACAGGGAUUAGAUACC
This 452-nucleotide ribosomal RNA is filed under the name uncultured bacterium. RNAcentral's name for it is "bacterial SSU rRNA". It matches the Rfam family "Bacterial small subunit ribosomal RNA", at positions 340 to 786 of the family's 1533-position model. The record is from RNAcentral.